Molecule: ribosomal RNA, 344 nt
Filed under: Leucauge venusta (orchard orbweaver)
Lineage: Eukaryota; Metazoa; Arthropoda; Arachnida; Araneae; Tetragnathidae
Description: partial 12S ribosomal RNA
Source: RNAcentral
AUACCCUAUUAUACAUCAACUAAAUUAGGUAGUAAAAUUCAUUUAAACCAAUAUAAAAUGGCGGCAUUUUAUCUUAUUAGAGGAAUAUGUCUAUUAAUCGACACUUCACGAUAACUUCUACUUUUAUAAAAAUUUUAUAUACCACCAUCUCAAAAUUUAAUCUAGUAAUCUAAUUCCAAUAAUAUUAUUUAUAAAAAGUUAGGUAAAGGUGUAGACUAUAUAAAAGAAAAAGAUGUAUUACAUUAAAAUGUUAUUUAAGGAAAACAAAUAAAAAGAUUUUUAGAAAAAGGAUUUAAAAGUAAUUUUUUAAUAAUAUUAAAAAUUGAAUUAGAUAAUAAAUGUGU